RNAcentral lists this long non-coding RNA (279 nucleotides) under Ananas comosus (pineapple). RNAcentral describes it as "long non-coding RNA (ACOM_LNC009908)". Lineage: Eukaryota; Viridiplantae; Streptophyta; Magnoliopsida; Poales; Bromeliaceae. The record is from RNAcentral.
AAAAAUAAUUAGUAGAAAAAAAAAUAGAUUUUAAUCAAUAUUUGUUUCAUUAAAAGGAAAAAAGAUCCAUGUUUAUUUGGUUCAAUAAAAAUAAUAAACCAUAAAAAUUUUACGCAACUUGAGUUUUCGUUUUUCGCCGAAAAAUAGCGAAAAAUGAAAAUUUUAAUUUUUUCACAAAUAUGUAAAAAUACUUUUAUGGACGAAUAUUAUUCCAUGGAACCAGACAAGCAAAAAAAUGUUUUUUAUACUGAAAAUAAUUUUUCGAUUCUUUUUACGUGG